GAUGAACGCUGGCGGCGUGCCUAAUACAUGCAAGUCGAGCGAACAGACGAGGAGCUUGCUCCUCUGACGUUAGCGGCGGACGGGUGAGUAACACGUGGAUAACCUACCUAUAAGACUGGGAUAACUUCGGGAAACCGGAGCUAAUACCGGAUAAUAUAUUGAACCGCAUGGUUCAAUAGUGAAAGACGGUUUUGCUGUCACUUAUAGAUGUAUCCGCGCCGCAUUAGCUAGUUGGUAAGGUAACGGCUUACCAAGGCAACGAUGCGUAGCCGACCUGAGAGGGUGAUCGGCCACACUGGAACUGAGACACGGUCCAGACUCCUACGGGAGGCAGCAGUAGGGAAUCUUCCGCAAUGGGCGAAAGCCUGAAGGAGCAACGCCGCGUGAGUGAUGAAGGUCUUCGGAUCGUAAAACUCUGUUAUUAGGGAAGAACAAAUGUGUAAGUAACUAUGCACGUCUUGACGGUACCUAAUCAGAAAGCCACGGCUAACUACGUG
This 497-nucleotide ribosomal RNA is filed under the name uncultured bacterium. Its description in RNAcentral is "partial 16S ribosomal RNA". It matches the Rfam family "Bacterial small subunit ribosomal RNA", at positions 28 to 507 of the family's 1533-position model. The record is from RNAcentral.